Molecule: unclassified non-coding RNA, 232 nt
Filed under: soil metagenome
Description: partial internal transcribed spacer 1
Source: RNAcentral
UUGAAUUUUAAUGAAGAGUUUGGUUGUAGCCGGCCCAUUCAUUUGGGCAUGUGCACACCUUCCUCUUUCAUCCCACACACACCUGUGAACCUGUGAGACAGAGAUGGGGAAUUUACUUGCUGCUUUUUGGAAUACAAAGGCAAUAGGUUAUUGGACCCCCCCUCUGUCUACUCAAUUAAUAUAAACUCAAUUUAUUUUAAAACGAAUGUAAUGGAUGUAACACAUCUCAUAC